GGGGAUAACGUUUGGAAACGAACGCUAAUACCGCAUGAUAUUAUUGAGCAGCAUGGCUUGAUAAUCAAAGGAGCAAUCCGCUGAAAGAUGGGCUCGCGUCCGAUUAGGUAGUUGUCGGGGCAACGGCCCACCAAGCCGACGAUCGGUAGCCGGACUGAGAGGUUGAACGGCCACAUUGGGACUGAGACACGGCCCAGACUCCUACGGGAGGCAGCAGUGAGGGAUAUUGGUCAAUGGGGGAAACCCUGAACCAGCAACGCCGCGUGAGGGAAGACGGUUUUCGGAUUGUAAACCUCUGUCCUCUGUGAAGAUGAUGACGGUAGCAGAGGAGGAAGCUCCGGCUAACUACGUGCCAGCAGCCGCGGUAAUACGUAGGGAGCAAGCGUUGUCCGGAUUUACUGGGUGUAAAGGGUGCGUAGGCGGCUUUGCAAGUCAGAAGUGAAAUCCAUGGGCUUAACCCAUGAACUGCUUUUGAAACUGCAGAGCUUGAGUGGAGUAGAGGUAGGCGGAAUUCCCGGUGUAGCGGUGAAAUGCGUAGAGAUCGGGAGGAACACCAGUGGCGAAGGCGGCCUGCUGGGCUCUAACUGACGCUGAGGCACGAAAGCGUGGGUAGCAAACAGGAUUAGAUACCCUGGUAGUCCACGCUGUAAACGAUGAUUAAAGGGUGUGGGUGGACUGACCCCAUCCGU
This 689-nucleotide ribosomal RNA is filed under the name uncultured bacterium. RNAcentral's name for it is "bacterial SSU rRNA". It matches the Rfam family "Bacterial small subunit ribosomal RNA", at positions 139 to 844 of the family's 1533-position model. The record is from RNAcentral.